CACUUUUCUAGUCCAGCCCGGCUCCGCCCUCUUGCCAUCAAGAUGACAGCCCUACCCACUCGCGGGAUUGUGCUGGCGUGGUCCUGGGUGCCCCAGCCUGUGCCCCCCUACGGCGCAGCGUGUGCCGGUCGUAAUCUGGAAAAUCCCAAACUCUCUAGAGUGCGGAGCCAGGCCGAUGCACUCGGUGGGGUUAAAAGUGCUCCCUGAGUGAGACUGGACUCCUAAAUGGCUGAGCCAUACCGAGGGUGAGCGUCCAUGUGCUCCCCUGAAGAGAGCGGCGACCACCGGCUUGCCUCCUAGGGCAGCAGGAAAAGAGCGAUCCCACGGCGGGCGCGUGCCAGCCUCCCUGGUCACCAACCCAAGAUCUUCAGGGGCAGGAUGGAUCCAAAAGGGACUCAGCACCAUGUAGUGACUCAAGACCCCAGACUCAAGAGAUGCGGGACUUGUAUCAGAAUAUGUGAAAAACUCCUACGACCAGAGAGAGAAAAAGCAGCCAGCCAAUGAAAAUGCAUGAAGGAUUCAAAUAGAUACCUACCCAGAGAAGAUACCCGUGAGUUGCAAAUGAACAGCCUCGUUGCUGCUUGAGGUACUGGCAGGCAUCGCCCCUCCUUUAGCUACCUCAGUGUGGACCAUGUUCUGCUGUCGUUGCUACUAUGCAAGCACAGAGAGUCCAUGCCAAAGCUUGCUUUCCUGCUCCUGUUGACAGUGAACACCUACAGUGACCAGAUCCCAGGCAAGGUUGGCAACCCCACAGGACCACAUGUCUCUUCUUGGUCGGACCCCCAGAUGUCUCCUCAUCUGAGCAACACCCUGCGGGUCCAGGCUCCUCUGUGUCCUUUUGAUGCUGCUCUCACCACAGAACAUAUGUGACAGGCCUGCUGAUUGGUGUCCAUGCUUGUCUACAGUUUGUGGUGUCAUGUUCCAGACUCAGCCUCAUGGCGGUCACAAUCCAACUGUCCUCAAGGAAGCCCGCUGUGCCAAGUCCUCAGGUGCUGUCAGGCUGUGACCUCCAACUCAUGGCACCAGACUCUGGUAGGGAAGUGGAGCUAAUCAGGUAACACACAGGAAGCUGAGCAUGAGAAGUGCUGUCUCAGUGCUGUUUCUAGUACCUUCUCCUGAGAGGAUUCUUGGGAAAGAGAGGGGGAAAAAAUGGCAGCAUAGUCACUCAGAGAUUUGAGAAUUUGGAGGUGAUCUAGAACCCACUGCUGAGACAAAGAUAUUCUAGUUAUAGUUGUUUAAUGUAUCUAAAUUUUAUUUGUUUAUUUAUAUAUUAUAAUGCUGGGGAUUUGAAAUUAGGGCCUCGUGUAUGUCAUGCAAGUGUUCCAUAAUUGAACUACACCUCCAGGACUACACAGAGAGACCCUGUCUCGAAAUAAAAGAAAGGAACAAA
Rattus norvegicus (Norway rat) is the source of this 1390-nucleotide long non-coding RNA. RefSeq annotates it as mitogen-activated protein kinase kinase 3, opposite strand. NCBI's taxonomy places the organism in Eukaryota, Metazoa, Chordata, Mammalia, Rodentia, Muridae. The record is from RefSeq and is marked validated. The transcript is spliced from 3 exons.